UCUGGUUGCACUGGAGGAGAGAGAUUCAAGCUUGGUUAGAUAUGAGUGGGGAAGUAAGGGACCACCUGACCCAAAGACUUCUCUUUCUGAAAUAUUCUUGUCAUGCCAACUUCUGGAAACUCACCUUCCUAGAUCUUGCUGGAGAAGGGGACAAGAAAAGGAUGUGAUAAAAUCCUAAAGACUGGCUGUUCACGUCUGAACUCUGGAUUCUAAAAGCACUGGAAGAAGCCAGCAUCUGUCUCUUUAGGUCCAGUUUCACUCCCUGGGACUGUCUGAGUGUUCUCCACAGAUUCUAAGGAUUAUUCUUGCUGCUGUGUUGAGAAUACACAGAAUGUAGAGAGAGUCAAGGUUUGAAGCAGGACGUCCAGUGAAAGCUGCCAUAAUAACUUGGGUAAGAGAUGAAAGUAGUUUGGACUAGGUUGAUGAUGAAAUACUAGAUAUGGCUGUAAAAAGAGAAGUCAGAAAUGACAUCCACAUUGUAUUGCCCAGACAACUGAAUCAGUGGAGAUGUCAUUAACUAUGAUGGGGGAAAUUGCACACACACACACACACAAAAAAAAAAAAAAAAAAAAAAAAAA
This is a non-coding RNA of Ictidomys tridecemlineatus (thirteen-lined ground squirrel), 578 nucleotides long. NCBI's taxonomy places the organism in Eukaryota, Metazoa, Chordata, Mammalia, Rodentia, Sciuridae. The record is from RefSeq and is a predicted model, not a curated record.